This 254-nucleotide ribosomal RNA is filed under the name uncultured bacterium. Its description in RNAcentral is "partial 16S ribosomal RNA". It matches the Rfam family "Bacterial small subunit ribosomal RNA", at positions 524 to 776 of the family's 1533-position model. The record is from RNAcentral.
GACGAACUGUCCUAACGUUGUUCGGAAUCACUGGGCUUAAAGGGCGCGUAGGCGGUCCAUCAAGUCAGGGGUGAAAUCCUGCAGCUCAACUGCAGAAGUGCCUCUGAUGACUGGUGGUCUGGAGGGAGAUAGGGGUGUGUGGAACUCACAGUGGAGCGGUGAAAUGCGUUGAUAUUGUGAGGAACGCCGGAGGCGAAAGCGACGCACUGGAUCUCUUCUGACGCUGAGGCGCGAAAGCUAGGGGAGCAAACGGG